GACGAACGCUGGCGGCGUGCCUAAUACAUGCAAGUAGAACGCUGAAGGAGGAGCUUGCUUCUCUGGAUGAGUUGCGAACGGGUGAGUAACGCGUAGGUAACCUGCCUGGUAGCGGGGGAUAACUAUUGGAAACGAUAGCUAAUACCGCAUAAUAGCAGUUGUUGCCUUACAACUGUUUGAAAGGUGCAAUUGCCCCACUACCAGAUGGACCUGCGUUGUAUUAGCUAGUUGGUGGGGUAACGGCUCACCAAGGCGACGAUACAUAGCCGACCUGAGAGGGUGAUCGGCCACACUGGGACUGAGACACGGCCCAGACUCCUACGGGAGGCAGCAGUAGGGAAUCUGCGGCAAUGGACGGAAGUCUGACCGAGCAACGCCGCGUGAGUGAAGAAGGGUUUCGGAUCGUAAAGCUCUGUUGUAAGAGAAGAACGAGUGUGAGAGUGGAAAGUUCACACUGUGACGGUAUCUUACCAGAAAGGGACGGCUAACUACGUG
Molecule: ribosomal RNA, 495 nt
Filed under: uncultured bacterium
Lineage: Bacteria
Description: partial 16S ribosomal RNA
Rfam family: Bacterial small subunit ribosomal RNA
Source: RNAcentral